This 170-nucleotide non-coding RNA is filed under the name Psychroflexus sediminis. Lineage: Bacteria; Pseudomonadati; Bacteroidota; Flavobacteriia; Flavobacteriales; Flavobacteriaceae. The record is from RNAcentral.
UUUGCUGUGAGGCAUUCAGUGAAGUAAGCGAGACUACAAAAGCCGGUACUGAUGAACAAGAACUGUAUAUAGAGGCUAGUCGUAUUGGGGUAAGCAAGCACAUCUUUGUAACGCCCACAAGAAAAGGUACAAUUAGUAGAUACAGCAGGAAUUGGCGGGAAGCUAUUUAU